Silurus meridionalis is the source of this 327-nucleotide long non-coding RNA. RefSeq lists it as uncharacterized. The record is from RefSeq and is a predicted model, not a curated record. NCBI's taxonomy places the organism in Eukaryota, Metazoa, Chordata, Actinopteri, Siluriformes, Siluridae. The transcript has 2 exons.
CAGCAGGAUGGGGGUAAUCCGGGGUGCUGUUGAGAGAAUGAGGAGUCCGAGAAGAAGGCUGAUUCCUGUUUCCGCAUGAUGGGACAAGCUCGAUCAGAGCAGACAUGACUCAACACAAACGACACACAGUGCUGCAAGUUUUCAACUUUUAUUUUCCUAUAAGACGAUCGGAAAUAUUAAUAAAACACCUCAAUUUCUUAUCUCAAGUCAGUUAUAAACAAAUCUUUUGACAAAGAAGUAAUACAAAAAACCAAAAGGUAAAAACAUCAUUUAACAUUUCAAUAGCAAAAAAAACAACAUUUCCAUAGCUCUUUAGGAAAUAAAAAU